GGGGGCUUAGCUGGGAGAGCGCCUGCUUUGCACGCAGGAGGUCAGCGGUUCGAUCCCGCUAGUCUCCACCA
RNAcentral lists this transfer RNA (71 nucleotides) under Staphylococcus aureus. RNAcentral's name for it is "tRNA-Ala(tgc)". It matches the Rfam family "tRNA". Rfam says of the family: Transfer RNA (tRNA) molecules are approximately 80 nucleotides in length. Their secondary structure includes four short double-helical elements and three loops (D, anti-codon, and T loops). RNAcentral also lists the same sequence under 2 other names. Lineage: Bacteria; Bacillati; Bacillota; Bacilli; Caryophanales; Staphylococcaceae. The record is from RNAcentral.